This 486-nucleotide ribosomal RNA is filed under the name uncultured bacterium. Its description in RNAcentral is "bacterial SSU rRNA". It matches the Rfam family "Bacterial small subunit ribosomal RNA", at positions 30 to 507 of the family's 1533-position model. The record is from RNAcentral.
AUUGAACGCUGGCGGCAUGCCUUACACAUGCAAGUCGAACGGCAGCACGGGUGCUUGCACCUGGUGGCGAGUGGCGAACGGGUGAGUAAUAUAUCGGAACGUGCCCUAGAGUGGGGGAUAACGUAGCGAAAGUUACGCUAAUACCGCAUACGAUCUAAGGAUGAAAGUGGGGGAUCGCAAGACCUCAUGCUCAUGGAGCGGCCGAUAUCUGAUUAGCUAGUUGGUGGGGUAAUAGCCCACCAAGGCGACGAUCAGUAGCUGGUCUGAGAGGACGACCAGCCACACUGGGACUGAGACACAGCCCAGACUCCUACGGGAGGCAGCAGUGGGGAAUUUUGGACAAUGGGGGAAACCCUGAUCCAGCAAUGCCGCGUGUGUGAAGAAGGCCUUCGGGUUGUAAAGCACUUUUGUCAGGAACGAAACGGUGGGGGCUAAUACCCUCUGCUAAUGACGGUACCUGAAGAAUAAGCACCGGCUAACUACGUG